CCCUUAGAUGUUCUGGGCCGCACGCGCGCUACACUGUUCGACGCAGCGAGUCUUAACCUUGACCGAAAGGUUUGGGUAAUCUUCAGCAAAGUCGAACGUGAUGGGGAUCGAUCAUUGCAAUUAUUGAUCGUGAACGAGGAAUUCCUAGUAAGUGCAAGUCAUCAGCUUGCGCUGAUUACGUCCCUGCCCUUUGUACACACCGCCCGUCGCUAAUACCGAUUGAAUGGUUUAGUGAGAUCUCUGGAUUGACGCUGGCUAGGGGGCGACCCUUGGCCAGACUGUUGAGAAACUGCUCAAACUUGAUCAUUUAGAGGAAGUAAAAGUCGUAACA
RNAcentral lists this ribosomal RNA (331 nucleotides) under uncultured eukaryote. RNAcentral's name for it is "partial 18S ribosomal RNA". It matches the Rfam family "Eukaryotic small subunit ribosomal RNA", at positions 1470 to 1796 of the family's 1831-position model. The record is from RNAcentral.